AAGUCGUAACAAGGUUUCCGUAGGUGAACCUGCGGAAGGAUCAUUAACACGUUAUCCACGUAUCUACCUCUUGCGAACUUUUUACUGUUCAGGAGUCGGCAGACCAGCGUAGAUAAUGGAGGUAGAUGUUACUAUGUCCAGUGGCCGACGCCCUGGUUCUACCUGCCUAGCUAACCCCGCCAUCCCCUUCGUUUUUUUUUAAAUGUGGUGUAAGAAAAAAAGUAGCGUGUUGGGUGUGGGCUUAGGUAUUCUGGUUCAUAUGACUCGAAUCAUAGUAGUUUUUUUAAUCUUAUUAACCCUUUUUUACUUAAUUUGUUGAAUUGUGAUGGUCCCUGGAGGUAACACUUCGGGUGGCUCACGUUAAUAAAACACUAUACAACUCUUAGCAACGGAUAUCUCGGUUCU
Molecule: unclassified non-coding RNA, 405 nt
Filed under: fungal sp.
Lineage: Eukaryota; Fungi
Description: partial internal transcribed spacer region
Rfam family: Eukaryotic small subunit ribosomal RNA (bases 1-46)
Source: RNAcentral